UGUUUAUUAAAAACACAGCACUCUGCAAACACGAAAGUGGACGUAUAGGGUGUGAUGCCUGCCCGGUGCUGGAAGGUUAAUUGAUGGUGUAAUCGAAAGAGAAGCUCCUGAUCGAAGCCCCAGUAAACGGCGGCCGUAACUAUAACGGUCCUAAGGUAGCGAAAUUCCUUGUCGGGUAAGUUCCGACCUGCACGAAUGGCAUAAUGAUGGCCAGGCUGUCUCCACCCGAGACUCAGUGAAAUUGAAAUCGCCGUGAAGAUGCGGUGUACCCGCGGCUAGACGGAAAGACCCCGUGAACCUUUACUAUAGCUUGACACUGAACAUUGAAUUUUGAUGUGUAGGAUAGGUGGGAGACUUUGAAGUAGUCACGCCAGUGAUUAUGGAGUCGUCCUUGAAAUACCACCCUUUAACGUUUGAUGUUCUAACGAAGAUUACGAAACGUGGUCUCGGACAGUGUCUGGUGGGUAGUUUGACUGGGGCGGUCUCCUCCCAAAGAGUAACGGAGGAGCACGAAGGUUUGCUAAUGACGGUCGGACAUCGUCAGGUUAGUGCAAUGGUAUAAGCAAGCUUAACUGCGAGACAGACAAGUCGAGCAGGUACGAAAGUAGGUCAUAGUGAUCCGGUGGUUCUGAAUGGAAGGGCCAUCGCUCAACGGAUAAAAGGUACUCCGGGGAUAACAGGCUGAUACCGCCCAAGAGUUCAUAUCGACGGCGGUGUUUGGCACCUCGAUGUCGGCUCAUCACAUCCUGGGGCUGAAGUAGGUCCCAAGGGUAUGGCUGUUCGCCAUUUAAAGUGGUACGCGAGCUGGGUUUAGAACGUCGUGAGACAGUUCGGUCCCUAUCUGCCGUGGGCGUUGGAGAAUUGAAAGGGGCUGCUCCUAGUACGAGAGGACCGGAGUGGACGCACCACUGGUGUUCCGGUUGUGUCGCCAGACGCAUUGCCGGGUAGCUAAGUGCGGAAGAGAUAAGUGCUGAAAGCAUCUAAGCACGAAACUUGCC
RNAcentral lists this ribosomal RNA (998 nucleotides) under human metagenome. RNAcentral describes it as "bacterial LSU rRNA". It matches the Rfam family "Bacterial large subunit ribosomal RNA", at positions 1801 to 2798 of the family's 2925-position model. The record is from RNAcentral.